AGAGUUUGAUCAUGGCUCAGGACGAACGCUGGCGGCGUGCUUAACACAUGCAAGUCGAACGGAGUUUAAAUCAGUAGUUUACUACAGAUUUAAACUUAGUGGCGGACGGGUGAGUAACACGUGGGCAACCUGCCCUAAAGAGGGGGAUAACACCGAGAAAUCGGUGCUAAUACCGCAUGACAUUAGAGCUUCGCAUGGAGCUUUAAUCAAAGGAGCAAUCCGCUUUAGGAUGGGCCCGCGUCUGAUUAGCUAGUUGGUGAGGUAGAGGCUCACCAAGGCGACGAUCAGUAGCCGAUCUGAGAGGAUGACCGGCCACACUGGAACUGAGACACGGUCCAGACUCCUACGGGAGGCAGCAGUGGGGAAUAUUGCACAAUGGGGGGAACCCUGAUGCAGCAACGCCGCGUGGAGGAAGAAGGUUUUCGGAUUGUAAACUCCUGUCUUUUGGGACGAUAAUGACGGUACCAAAAGAGGAAGCCACGGCUAACUACGUGCCAGCAGCCGCGGUAAUACGUAGGUGGCGAGCGUUGUCCGGAAUUACUGGGCGUAAAGGGCGCGUAGGCGGCCUGUUAAGUCAGAUGUGAAAACCCCAG
Molecule: ribosomal RNA, 593 nt
Filed under: uncultured bacterium
Lineage: Bacteria
Description: bacterial SSU rRNA
Rfam family: Bacterial small subunit ribosomal RNA
Source: RNAcentral